CAAGGUAUAGCUUAACAUAAAGCAUCUGAUUUACACUCAGAAGAUCUCAAUAUUGCUUGAUGACCUUGA
RNAcentral lists this transfer RNA (69 nucleotides) under Lophocebus aterrimus (Black crested mangabey). RNAcentral describes it as "tRNA-Val". The stretch from base 1 to 60 matches the Rfam family "tRNA". From Rfam's summary of the family: Transfer RNA (tRNA) molecules are approximately 80 nucleotides in length. Their secondary structure includes four short double-helical elements and three loops (D, anti-codon, and T loops). Further hydrogen bonds mediate the characteristic L-shaped molecular structure. tRNAs have two regions of fundamental functional importance: the anti-codon, which is responsible for specific mRNA codon recognition, and the 3' end, to which the tRNAs corresponding amino acid is attached (by aminoacyl-tRNA synthetases). tRNAs cope with the degeneracy of the genetic code in two manners: having more than one tRNA (with a specific anti-codon) for a particular amino acid; and 'wobble' base-pairing, i.e. permitting non-standard base-pairing at the 3rd anti-codon position. The record is from RNAcentral. Lineage: Eukaryota; Metazoa; Chordata; Mammalia; Primates; Cercopithecidae.